This 218-nucleotide unclassified non-coding RNA is filed under the name uncultured Tomentella. Its description in RNAcentral is "sequence contains ITS2". The record is from RNAcentral. Lineage: Eukaryota; Fungi; Basidiomycota; Agaricomycetes; Thelephorales; Thelephoraceae.
ACACAUCAACUCUCAUGGCUUGCCGUGACGAGCUUGGACUUUGGAGGUCUUGCUGGCCUGUGGCCGGCUCCUCUCAAAUGAAUUAGCCUGCCGGUGUUUGGUGGGAUCACAGGUGUGAUAACUAUCUACGCUUGUGGUUUUCCACCAGGUAACCCUCAGCGAUGGAGGUUCACUGGAGCUUAUAAACGUCUCUCCUCAGCGAAGACAGCUUUUUUAAC